GCUGGGUCUAGAGGACAAAGGUGGAAGCUGGAAUCAAUGCUUCUUGAUGAGACGGAUGUUCCUCCAAGUACAUGAAGUUCUCUGAAGCAUCUCCAGUUCCACUUUCCAAAGUUUCACAAGAGACUCAGGCAAAGCAACAGUGAAGAAUGGUGGCGUGUGAACAGUUUGGGAGCCCACCUACUCCUUGCCCCGCUGUAUGAGAGACCCAGACAGAAAGCUCACCUGCCCCUAGACAAGGACUGGUUUUAAGAUUGCURAUGCUGGCAACAAGUCUUGCUCUGGACUGCUGUGASUGCUGCCUGUCAUCCGCACCAAAUCAGGAUGAAGAGUGUCACGUUGGGGCCCCUAGCAGUGCUUUUCCUGGGAUACCUAUUCACCCACGUGUUCCUGGAAGGAAACAGGGCUCUACGC
Molecule: long non-coding RNA, 411 nt
Filed under: Dromaius novaehollandiae (emu)
Lineage: Eukaryota; Metazoa; Chordata; Aves; Casuariiformes; Dromaiidae
Description: lncRNA (ENSDNVG00000011568.1)
Source: RNAcentral